Molecule: ribosomal RNA, 301 nt
Filed under: uncultured bacterium
Lineage: Bacteria
Description: partial 16S ribosomal RNA
Rfam family: Bacterial small subunit ribosomal RNA
Source: RNAcentral
CAGCCGCCGCGGUAAUACGAAGGGGGCGAGCGUUGCUCGGAAUGACUGGGCGUAAAGGGCGCGUAGGUGGCGUGCACAGUCAGAUGUGAAAUUCCUGGGCUCAACCUGGGGGCUGCAUUUGAUACGUGCGUGCUAGAGUGUGGAAGAGGGUCGUGGAAUUCCCAGUGUAGAGGUGAAAUUCGUAGGUAUUGUGAAGAACACCGGUGGCGAAGGCGGCGACCUGGUCCAUUACUGACGCUGAGGCGCGAAAGCGUGGGGAGCAAACAGGAUUAGAUACCCCUGUAGUCCCUGUCUCUUAUAC